AUUGAACGCUGGCGGCAGGCCUAAUACAUGCAAGUCGAACGGUAACAGGAAGACGCUUGCUUCUUUGCUGACGAGUGGCGGACGGGUGAGUAAUGUGUGGCAAACCGCCUGAUGGAGGGGGACAAUUACUGGAAACGGUUGCUACUACCGAAUAACGUCGCAAGACCAACGUUUGGGACAUACGGGCCUUUUGACAUCUGCUGUGCCGAGAUGGGAUUUGUUAGUAGGUGGGGUAACGGCUCACCAAGGCGACGAUCCCUAGCUAGUCUGCGAGGGUGACCGGCCACACGGGAACUGGGACACGGCCAAGACUCCUACGGGAGGCAGCAGUGGGGAAUAUUGCACAAUGGGCGAAAGCCUGAUGCAGCAAUGCCGCGUGGAUGAAGAAGGCCUUCGGGUUGUAAAGUACUUUCAGAGGGGAGGAAGGGAGUAAGAUUAAAACCUUCACUCAUUGACGUUACCCGAACAGAAAGCAACGGCUAACUACGUG
RNAcentral lists this ribosomal RNA (490 nucleotides) under uncultured bacterium. Its description in RNAcentral is "partial 16S ribosomal RNA". It matches the Rfam family "Bacterial small subunit ribosomal RNA", at positions 30 to 507 of the family's 1533-position model. The record is from RNAcentral.